Molecule: ribosomal RNA, 544 nt
Filed under: uncultured bacterium
Lineage: Bacteria
Description: partial 16S ribosomal RNA
Rfam family: Bacterial small subunit ribosomal RNA
Source: RNAcentral
UGGGGAAUAUUGGACAAUGGGCGCAAGCCUGAUCCAGCCAUGCCGCGUGAGUGAUGAAGGCCUUAGGGUUGUAAAGCUCUUUCACCGAUGAAGAUAAUGACGGUAGUCGGAGAAGAAGCCCCGGCUAACUUCGUGCCAGCAGCCGCGGUAAUACGAAGGGGGCUAGCGUUGUUCGGAAUUACUGGGCGUAAAGCGCACGUAGGCGGAUAUUUAAGUCAGGGGUGAAAUCCCAGAGCUCAACUCUGGAACUGCCUUUGAUACUGGGUAUCUUGAGUAUGGAAGAGGUAAGUGGAAUUGCGAGUGUAGAGGUGAAAUUCGUAGAUAUUCGCAGGAACACCAGUGGCGAAGGCGGCUUACUGGUCCGUUACUGACGCUGAGGUGCGAAAGCGUGGGGAGCAAAACAGGAUUAGAUACCCUGGUAGUCCACGCCGUAAAACGAUGAAUGUUAGCCGUCGGCAAGUUUACUUGUCGGUGGCGCAGCUAACGCAUUAAACAUUCCGCCUGGGGAGUACGGUCGCAAGAUUAAAAACUCAAAGGAAUUGAC